This 241-nucleotide unclassified non-coding RNA is filed under the name plant metagenome. RNAcentral describes it as "partial contains small subunit ribosomal RNA, internal transcribed spacer 1, and 5.8S ribosomal RNA". The record is from RNAcentral.
UUUCCGUAGGUGAACCUGCGGAAGGAUCAUUAAAGAGUAAGGGUCUUCGGGCCGGAUCUCCAACCCUUUGUUUAACUACCAUGUUGCUUUGGCGGGCCCGUCUCACGACCGCCGGAAGUUUGGCUUCGACCAAACUUCUGGCCCGUGCCCGUCAGUGGCCCCUUCAAAUUCUUGAUCAAGUAUGAUGUCUUAGUUAAAAACUUAAUAGUUAAAACUUUCAACAACGGAUCUCUUGGUUCUG